This 253-nucleotide ribosomal RNA is filed under the name uncultured bacterium. RNAcentral describes it as "partial 16S ribosomal RNA". It matches the Rfam family "Bacterial small subunit ribosomal RNA", at positions 524 to 776 of the family's 1533-position model. The record is from RNAcentral.
UACAGAGGUCUCAAGCGUUGUUCGGAUUCACUGGGUUUAAAGGGUGCGUAGGUGGGUAAGUAAGUCAGUGGUGAAAUCUCCGGGCUUAACCCGGAAACUGCCAUUGAUACUAUUUGUCUUGAAUACUGUGGAGGUCAGCGGAAUAUGUCAUGUAGCGGUGAAAUGCUUAGAUAUGACAUAGAACACCAAUUGCGAAGGCAGCUGGCUACACAAAUAUUGACACUGAGGCACGAAAGCGUGGGGAUCAAACAGG